GUUUUAACUCAACAGUUUUCGUAUGUGUGUGUGCUUCUCGUAGUACUCGCCGGCGGAUUAUUGCCCGAAAAAGUUUUGCAAAACUGCGGCUCUCAUCACUCGGUCUCUCAAUUUUCCCGCGCACU
Caenorhabditis elegans is the source of this 125-nucleotide non-coding RNA. NCBI's taxonomy places the organism in Eukaryota, Metazoa, Nematoda, Chromadorea, Rhabditida, Rhabditidae. The record is from Ensembl.